UCCAUGGGAUUUUCCAGACAAGAGUACUGGAGUGGGUUGCCAUUGCCUUCUCCGAAAGUCUUCAUAAAAAGUGAGACAAAGAAAGGAGUGUUCUUUGGAAGCCUCAUGAAUGCUCACUCAAAGGCACACUGCUGCGCAGCUAUUUUGUAAAUGCAGAUAAAUGGGGACUGAUUAUGUUCCAGGGUAGCUGGAGGCUGCCUGGACUCCUGACCAGCCUACUCCAACCUGGGGAGAGUGAUUAACCUGCCAUAUGCCACAGCCUGGAAAAAAAUGGCAGAGGAUUUGGCAAUGGACCAAGUCAUAAGAAGAUGCACCUGCAGAUUGCUUUGCACCUUUCCUGAGGAUUCCUGUAUCACUGAAGAAGUACAUCCCUUGUUGGGUUCCUGAUACUUGCUGAGUAUGUGUCUUCCCAGUUUCUUGAUAAUAGCUCCACCCUUCUAAAACACCCAGUAUUUUUCCAAAGCAAAAUUUAGGGGAAAAAUGAUCAAACUAAAUAAUAGCAAAUACCAUCAUUGGAUGGUCAAUGAUUUUCAGUGAUGAUUUCCCACUGAAGUAAAUCUUCUUAGUUCUCUCCUGCAUUGAUUUUAAUAUAUAAUAUCUAAGCUUUUAGUAAAGAAACAUACAGAAAGGCUUGAGGCAAUAAAAUCAAUAAAGUUUAAAAAUAUACAGUAAUAAAUGGAAUGUUAAACAUUUGGUACUUAUACUCAAGCCAAACAGUUGAGAAGAACUAAGAAAUUAUGAGAAAUUUCACUUAAUAAUGAAAAUGACCUGGGAUUUUGGAAUAAACAUCAAAGAGCAUAUCUAGGAACAUCUCUUCUGCAAAUUUAAUUGAUAAUAAAUAUUAUAAUUGCUUUAGGAGGUAAUUUAGAGGAUAUUGUUAAUUUGCUAAAUUACCUGAUUGUUUGUUUGUGGAUAUUAGUUUUCAAACUGGUUAAAUACCAGACUUCCUGAAUAUAAUCAUAGGUGGUUGAAUAUGACUUUCUUGUGUUAGAUUUGCCAAGGAUAUUGUCUUGUCAUUUACUCAGAAGUAAAUGACUCAAAAUAGAGGCUCACAUGAUUCUCUUUAGAUACAAGUCAAGUUUCAAAGGUUGUUACAACAUUCAAAUUAACUGAAUUUCAGAAAUGUUAAAGCUUUGCCUAAGGAAAGAAAAUUCAAAGGUUUUUUAAAACCAUACAAGGCUCAGAAUGUCUGGGUAUAAAGAAUAGUUCCUGCUCUUUAGUUAGAAAGUAGCCUUGAUAUCUUGAGGGAGAAGUUCUUCUUGAGAAGAAAUCUCAUUAAACUUUCAGUGUGACCUAUUUUAAACUUGACUGGAAAAUACAUAAUUGUUCCAUUUGAAACCAGGAAGUAGAGCAAGUCAACAUCUUUUGUAGCCAAGUCAAUAUAAAAAGUGCCUGUUUAUAGGUAGAUGCCAUAAUGGUCCAUAGGAAAAUUUACAGUUUGCAAUUUAUGGCAUCUGAAAGGAAAAGCAUUUGUAUGUGAGAUUGAUUAAAUAAGUCUCAUUACUUUAUAGUCACACUCUUCCUGUGUUUGUGUGUCUACACAUUCCACUGAAUUAUUUUUUACCAAAUCAUCUUACAAAUUUCAAAAAUCUGUGUUUUGUCCUUAUUCUGUCAAUUUUCAGGGAAAUUUUCAGUUGUUUUAUUUAUAUUGCCCUCUGGAGAUGGCUCUCAGCAGUUUAUCCUCCCCACAUUUAUUGUUUAUAUUUCGCCCUUGUUUCUUAUUGAUUUAAACUCUGUGCAAUUGUUUUCAUGUAUGCUUCUAUAUUAAGACAUGUGAUCCAUCUUUCAAAACCAUUUUACAAACACCAGUGUGUUGCAUUCCUGAGUUCUGAUGGUAUUUCCUCAACACAGAGACACUAACCAGCUGUUUAAAUGAACUGAAAUUAUGGCAAACAUUUCUUGUUUGAUGAAAAUUUGAUGAAAUCAUUUUAUAUUCGUUUUACUGUGUGUACUUAGAAGCUCUAGUAAAGAGUAUAGUAGAAAAUGCAACAUAGGUUCUCUAUUAAUUUUAAUUGCAAUUGGUUGAGUUUUUACAAAUAGUUUUCAAACUUUUGCUCCUUUCAAUGCACCGCAUGUCUCAAUAAGCUUACAAAACAAGGAUCAUUGGCAACUCAUUAGCUUUUAAACAUGUAGCCUUUAAUUUUCUAUAGUGUAAAACUAUAGGAAUUCAACUUACACUGUGUCCUCACAAUGUCCU
Long non-coding RNA from Dama dama (fallow deer), 2197 nucleotides. RefSeq lists it as uncharacterized. NCBI's taxonomy places the organism in Eukaryota, Metazoa, Chordata, Mammalia, Artiodactyla, Cervidae. The transcript is spliced from 3 exons. The record is from RefSeq and is a predicted model, not a curated record.